CGCAGCCAUCUUUGAGAGGGUUGGGUAGUUGGUGCUGUUGACCCUCCACCAGCUCAGAACGUUAAAGUCUUCUGACCUCGGAAUCAAAUUUUCUUCCAGGUAUUGAUCCAGCUCCGUUUUCAUAUCUGACAUGUACAUCUCGAAGUCUGACAAUGACUCUCCUAUUGUGAUGAGGGUAGAACCUUCCUCGAGAAGCACGUCAACCGGAAAUGACGGAUGGUCUUCCUCUGCCAUUGCAUGUGCUUGAGAAUCAUCACCAUGUUGCUGGUCCUCUUCUGU
Molecule: long non-coding RNA, 279 nt
Filed under: Arabidopsis lyrata
Lineage: Eukaryota; Viridiplantae; Streptophyta; Magnoliopsida; Brassicales; Brassicaceae
Description: long non-coding RNA (ALYR_LNC003006)
Source: RNAcentral